RNAcentral lists this ribosomal RNA (63 nucleotides) under Sphaerochaeta sp. Its description in RNAcentral is "partial 16S ribosomal RNA". The record is from RNAcentral. Lineage: Bacteria; Pseudomonadati; Spirochaetota; Spirochaetia; Spirochaetales; Sphaerochaetaceae.
GGGCUUCGGCCCGGGUUCAAAUAAUGGAGAGUUCGAUCCUGGCUCAGAACGAACGCUGGCGGC